Long non-coding RNA from Vigna angularis (adzuki bean), 1999 nucleotides. RefSeq lists it as uncharacterized. Lineage: Eukaryota; Viridiplantae; Streptophyta; Magnoliopsida; Fabales; Fabaceae. The transcript has 2 exons. The record is from RefSeq and is a predicted model, not a curated record.
CUGAGGUGGAGGGAGAAGGGUGUAGUAGUGUAGGGAGAAGCUCUCUCACUAGAAACACAACGUUGGGACUAGACCGUAAAGGUCCACUCUAAAUUUGUCCAAAACGGAGCUGCCAACGCUGACCACUAUGACACCCACAACCACCUCCAUUUGCUCCUCCCUUACCUCACUCACGCAACCAGAAUAAAACCAAGAACAAAAUAGAACUCUCAAAUACAACCCCAAAACAUAGCCAUCAACUUGAAUCAACGCUGAAUGAUCAAGAGCACAAAAUCUCCCAACCGAAAAACCCCAAGACCCCAUUUCAACCCCUAGGCCCCAUCACGAGAUCAAAACUUGCAAAUAAGAAAUAAAAACCCCAUUCAAACAACACCAUCGCCUGGAGCACUCGUUGUCGAGGAAGAAGCGUUGUGAAUCGCAAUACCAUCGCCUCACCGCCACGUCGCCGCCGACGUGCCCUUGAUGCACCCUCGCCACGUUACGAGAAAGGAGUUCGCUCCCGUUCCUGUUAAACACCGCCAGACCCAACGAAAGAGAAAGGAAGAACGCCUCCUUGUUUGCGAGCAAAAGGAGAAGAAGAGAGGGGCUUCCCUAGCCAGGCUCUCGUGUGAGACAAAGAAAUCCCUUGGCUGGGUUGUUUGAGAACACGACCAGACAUUAGGGAAAAUUUCCCUUGCGCGACCCCAAAAGCCAGGGUUUUCCUGGUUCAAAAAUUAAACCACAGCUUAGGCCCAAAGAAGGAGAAAGGAGAAGUUUCUCCCUGUGUGCGACCUCCACAAGGGUGUUGCUUCCUCCACCACCACAUCAUGCUUCCUCCACCUCCCCAAAUUGUUUUAAUUCUAAUUCUAUCUUUAAGUUAAAACUUUUUUACUUUUACUAUUUAGGAUUUUUUUUUAUUAAUAUGGAAGCCCUAUUUCUAUCGUUCCCGUAUAUGAAUGCAUGCAGCGGCAAGCACACAAACUUUUUUUCCUCUUUAACUUCUUCCUUUGCCUAUACUGUUACAUUAUUUUAUUGUUUCAUUUUGUUGUGAGAGUGUAGUGGAGUUUCAUUCCAUGGUGUACUUAGUGGAAGAUUACAAAGGUUGCUGGUGGUGCAAGCAACUGAUCCAGCGAUCUUGGUGGUGGUGGUGCUUGAAGGUACAGUGGUGAAAAUGGUGAAGGUGAAGGUUGAGGUGCGGAAAAAAGUUACGUUCUGUUGAAGGUCAAACGGAUGUGGAAAAGUUAUGAUUCAUUCAUCACGACAAUAAUAUGCCAAGACAGAACCUUUUCCUCCAUGUCACUUCUUUCUUCUUCUCCUUCUAUGUGGCUUUGUCGGCGGCGACACACCGUCGCGGGAGGUGUGGUGCGUGGCCAAGAACAACGCGGAGGAUGCGGCGUUGCAGUCGGCUGUUGCGUGGGCCUGCGGCGCCGGCGGGACCGAUUGCGGAUCGAUCCAGGGAGGAGGACCUUGCUUAGACCCUUCUAGCGUGCAGAAUACGGCGUCGUACGCUUUCAAUGAUUAUUUCCGAAAACACGAGAUCACCGAAGAGAAUUGUAACUUCGGUAACAAUGCCGCCAUCACCUCCUCGAAUCCCAUGAACAACGGAAGCCUCUCGGGAUCCGCGUCAUCGAUGGGAUCAAUGCCCGGUGAAGACACGGGUGGAUGCGGUGGAGUUGUUCGGAGGUGGUGGUUUUGGCCAUUUGUUAUCGCCGCUUAUUUAUUCUCCAUAGUUUCACCCUUACCCAUUGUUUAAGGAUAGAGAUCUAUCUAUUUCAGAUUUUUAGAUUUACUAGCAUAGUUCAAAUCAGCAUUUGUACUUAAUUUAAAUCAAAGGGAGUAAAUGUAAGGUUGUGUUAUGAACUAUGGUCUCUGUUUCUAGGAGGAAAGUUAGUCCAUUUUUUGUGAGUUUUGUGUCAUAUGAUUCUUCUAUUCUUGAAAUGCAAUAUGCAGAGGUUAGUUUUACUUGUACUGAUACAAUUAAAGUGAGUUAUUGAUAGCUAUUUUAAAUGGUUAUGGUGAA